UGCAAGUCUGGUGCCAGCAGCCGCGGUAAUUCCAGCUCCAAUAGCGUAUAUUAAAGUUGUUGCAGUUAAAAAGCUCGUAGUUGAACCUUGGGCUUGGUUGGCCGGUCCGCCUUUUUGGCGAGUACUGGACCCAACCGAGCCUUUCCUUCUGGCUAACCUUUCGCCCUUGUGGUGUUUGGCGAACCAGGACUUUUACUUUGAAAAAAUUAGAGUGUUCAAAGCAGGCCUUUGCUCGAAUAUAUUAGCAUGGAAUAAUAGAAUAGGACGUUAUGGUUCUAUUUUGUUGGUUUCUAGGACCAUCGUAAUGAUUAAUAGGGACGGUCGGGGGCAUCAGUAUUCAGUUGUCUGAGGUGAAAUUCUUGGAUUUACUGAAGACUAACUACUGCGAAAGCAUUUGCCAAA
RNAcentral lists this ribosomal RNA (402 nucleotides) under uncultured Debaryomyces. Its description in RNAcentral is "SSU rRNA". It matches the Rfam family "Eukaryotic small subunit ribosomal RNA", at positions 554 to 962 of the family's 1831-position model. The record is from RNAcentral. Lineage: Eukaryota; Fungi; Ascomycota; Saccharomycetes; Saccharomycetales; Saccharomycetaceae.